CAGUGUUUGGCACCUCGAUGUCGGCUCAUCUCAUCCUGGGGCUGGAGCAGGUCCCAAGGGUACGGCUGUUCGCCGUUUAAAGAGGUACGUGAGCUGGGUUUAGAACGUCGUGAGACAGUUCGGUCCCUAUCUUCCGUGGGUGUAGGAUACUUGAGAGGAGUUGCCCCUAGUACGAGAGGACCGGGGUGAACGAUCCACUGGUGGACCUGUUGUUGCGCCAGCAGCAGUGCAGGGUAGCUAUG
This 242-nucleotide ribosomal RNA is filed under the name Sulfitobacter sp. HI0040. Its description in RNAcentral is "partial 23S ribosomal RNA". It matches the Rfam family "Bacterial large subunit ribosomal RNA", at positions 2512 to 2753 of the family's 2925-position model. The record is from RNAcentral. Lineage: Bacteria; Pseudomonadati; Pseudomonadota; Alphaproteobacteria; Rhodobacterales; Roseobacteraceae.